Molecule: long non-coding RNA, 920 nt
Filed under: Parus major (Great Tit)
Lineage: Eukaryota; Metazoa; Chordata; Aves; Passeriformes; Paridae
Description: lncRNA (ENSPMJG00000007185.1)
Source: RNAcentral
CGGGGGGAGCGCCUUGUGCCCCCCGCCUGCCGCCGUCCCCUCCCCAGAGGGGGACACCCGCCCCUAGAACUCGGCCAUUCCACCAAACCCACCGGCUUCCAGCCCCCGGCUGCCCAGCUGAGCGCAGAGCUGCCCAGAACCAGCCCCAAAACCUUGAGGAGCCUCCAGCUCAUUAACCGUUCUCUGAGAGGGAGAAUCAUGAAGGAUGCAGAGGAAGAGCCUCGAAACCCGCACGUGCCUCGGGCAGCUCUCCCAGAUUUCCCAUCCCCACGGCAUUGCCCCGGCUCCCGAAGGAAAACACCAGGAGGGUCUCAAGUCUUGAGGAUCCAAGCAGACAGAAGGGAAGAAUCAGCUCCUCCUGCCAGGUGGACCAAGGACACCUUCAGGUCUCCCCCUGCAGGCUCCCUUCCCCUCCACCCCGGCACUCAGAUCCUCCGGGGAGCGGCGCAGCUCACGGCGUCUGGGCAGCGCCAGGAGAAGGACAAACAGCAUCUGUCCAGCUCAGCAGGGAACCAGCGCAGCUUUCCCAGCCCGUCCCCGUGUCUGGGAGCCCGGCACCAACCGGGACUCAGCGUUUCCAGCCCUUCAUCCUCCCGGAUGAGACAGGCUGUGGGGAGAAGACCCCAACACGAUGAGGGAGGGGUUUAGUGAGGGCCCCUCAGCCCCUGUGGCCGUUAAGACAUUCCAGCUCGGGAUAUUCUGGUAUCCACGGCUCUGGGAUUUGAGAUCUUCUGGGCUGGGAGGACAGGAGGCUCCUGCUGAGUGCAAGGGAUGACAAAGGAGCUCAGGCACAGAAGGUUUUGCAGAUUCCUGCAGUGUUCCUCCUGAGAAUCACCCCCCUCAUUCCCCCUGGCUCUGGAUCCCGGCUCCUGUGACCCUGAACACCCUGACUGGCUGUAAUUAAAGGCCGAGCAAUUGCC